Molecule: ribosomal RNA, 375 nt
Filed under: uncultured bacterium
Lineage: Bacteria
Description: bacterial SSU rRNA
Rfam family: Bacterial small subunit ribosomal RNA
Source: RNAcentral
GACGAACGCUGGCGGCGUGCCUAACACAUGCAAGUCGAACGGGAAAGUGGAGCAAUCCAUGAGUAUAGUGGCGACCGGGUGAGUAACACGUGACUAACCUACCUUCAAGUGGGGGAUAACCUCGGGAAACCGGGGCUAAUACCGCAUAAAAUCUCUGUUAUGAGAAAGCAGGGAUCAAAGGAGCAAUUCGCUGGAAGAGGGGGUCGCGGCUGAUUAGCUAGUUGGUGGGGUAAUGGCCCACCAAGGCUUUGAUCGGUAGCCGGCCUGAGAGGGCGCACGGCCACACUGGAACUGAAACACGGUCCAGACUCCUACGGGAGGCAGCAGUGGGGAAUUUUGCGCAAUGGGGGAAACCCUGACGCAGCAACGCCGCGU